This 75-nucleotide transfer RNA is filed under the name Guillardia theta. Its description in RNAcentral is "tRNA-Ala". It matches the Rfam family "tRNA". Rfam says of the family: Transfer RNA (tRNA) molecules are approximately 80 nucleotides in length. Their secondary structure includes four short double-helical elements and three loops (D, anti-codon, and T loops). Further hydrogen bonds mediate the characteristic L-shaped molecular structure. tRNAs have two regions of fundamental functional importance: the anti-codon, which is responsible for specific mRNA codon recognition, and the 3' end, to which the tRNAs corresponding amino acid is attached (by aminoacyl-tRNA synthetases). tRNAs cope with the degeneracy of the genetic code in two manners: having more than one tRNA (with a specific anti-codon) for a particular amino acid; and 'wobble' base-pairing, i.e. permitting non-standard base-pairing at the 3rd anti-codon position. The record is from RNAcentral. Lineage: Eukaryota; Cryptophyceae; Pyrenomonadales; Geminigeraceae.
GGGGAAAUGACGCAGUGGUAGCGUGUUUGUUUUGCAAGCAAAAGGUCGUGGGUUCAAAAACUCCCACUUUCUCCA